GUCCGCAUAGUGUAGCGGUUAUCAUGUUUGCUUUACAUAAUCAUCUAAUUUGGAACGCAAAAGGUCCCAGGUUCGAACCCUGGUGCGGACA
Transfer RNA from Pochonia chlamydosporia 170, 91 nucleotides. It matches the Rfam family "tRNA". From Rfam's summary of the family: Transfer RNA (tRNA) molecules are approximately 80 nucleotides in length. Their secondary structure includes four short double-helical elements and three loops (D, anti-codon, and T loops). Lineage: Eukaryota; Fungi; Ascomycota; Sordariomycetes; Hypocreales; Clavicipitaceae. The record is from Rfam.